UACGGAAGGCAGCACUGGGGAAUAUUGCACAAUGGGCGACAACGCCUGAUGCAGCCAUGCCGCGUGUAUGAAGAAGGUCCGUUCGGGUUGUAAAGUACUUUCAGGUCGUAAGAAGGAAGGUGUUAAGGUUAUAACCUUAGCAAAUUGACGUUAGCGACAGAAGAAGCACCGGCUAACUCCGGUAGCCAGGCAGCCGCGGUAAAUCGAAGGGUGCGAGCGUUAAAUCGGAAUUACUGGGCGUUUAAAAGGGCACGCAGGCGGUUAAAUUAACGUUGGAUGUGAAAAUCCCCGGGCUAACCUGGGAAAUGGCAUUCAAGACUGGUUAGCUAGAGUCUUGUAGAGGGGGUAGAAUUCCAAUGUGUAGCGGUGAAAUGCGUAAGAGAUGUGGAGGAAUACCGUGC
Molecule: ribosomal RNA, 401 nt
Filed under: uncultured bacterium
Lineage: Bacteria
Description: bacterial SSU rRNA
Rfam family: Bacterial small subunit ribosomal RNA
Source: RNAcentral